This 94-nucleotide small nucleolar RNA is filed under the name Gorilla gorilla gorilla (western lowland gorilla). RNAcentral describes it as "Small nucleolar RNA U3". It matches the Rfam family "Small nucleolar RNA U3", at positions 1 to 90 of the family's 219-position model. Rfam says of the family: Small nucleolar RNAs (snoRNAs) are involved in the processing and modification of rRNA in the nucleolus. There are two main classes of snoRNAs: the box C/D class, and the box H/ACA class. The record is from Rfam by way of RNAcentral. Lineage: Eukaryota; Metazoa; Chordata; Mammalia; Primates; Hominidae.
AAGACUAUACUUUCGGGGAUCAUUUCUAUAGUUCAUCACUAGAGAAGGUCUCUGAACAUGUAGAGCACCGAGUCAAGAAAUAACUAAGAUCAGA